RNAcentral lists this ribosomal RNA (563 nucleotides) under uncultured bacterium. RNAcentral's name for it is "partial 16S ribosomal RNA". It matches the Rfam family "Bacterial small subunit ribosomal RNA", at positions 355 to 1375 of the family's 1533-position model. The record is from RNAcentral.
GGAGGAAUAUUGGGCAAUGGACGAAAGUCUGACCCAGCAACGCCGCGUGAAGGAUGAAGGCCUUCGGGUCGUAAACUUCUUUUGAGGGAGACGAGAAAGGACGGUAUCCCUCGAAUAAGCCACGGCUAACUACGUGCCAGCAGCCGCGGUAAAACGUAGGUGGCGAGCGUUAUCCGGAUUCAUUGGGCGUAAAGAGCUUGUAGGUGGUGCGAUAAGUUGGACGUGAAAACUCCGGGCUUAACUUGGAGAGGCCGUUCAAUACUGUUGUGCUAGAGGGCGUCAGAGGGAAGUGGAAUUCCUGGUGUAGCAGUGAAAUGCGUAGAUAUCAGGAGGAACAUCCGUGGCGAAGGCGGCUUCCUGGGGCGCACCUGACACUGAGAAGCGAAAGCUAGGGGAGCAAACGGGAUUAGAAACCCCGGUAGUCCUAGCUGUAAACGAUGGAUGCUAGGUGUGAGUGGAUCUAACCCCGCUCGUGCCGAAGCUAACGCGUUAAGCAUCCCGCCUGGGAACUACGAGCGCAAGCUUAAAACUUAAAUGAAUUGACGGGGUCAUAGCUGUUUCCU